This 257-nucleotide ribosomal RNA is filed under the name uncultured bacterium. RNAcentral describes it as "partial 16S ribosomal RNA". It matches the Rfam family "Bacterial small subunit ribosomal RNA", at positions 556 to 793 of the family's 1533-position model. The record is from RNAcentral.
UUACGUGGGACGUAAAGCGCAUGCAGGCGGCCUAGUUAAGUCAGAUGUAGAAACGGCCCGGGGUACUUAACCGUACGGUAAUUGCUAUUUAGAAACGUGGCGAGGCUAGAGUCUUGUAGAGGGGGUAGAAUUUCAGGUGUAGCGGUGAAAUGCGUAGAGAUCUGAAGGAAUACCAGUGGCGAAGGCGGCCCCCUGGACAAAGACUGACGCUCAGAUGCGAAAGCGUGGGGAGCAAACAGGAUUAGAUACCCUGGUAG